Molecule: non-coding RNA, 138 nt
Filed under: Elusimicrobiota bacterium
Lineage: Bacteria; Pseudomonadati; Elusimicrobiota
Description: Elusimicrobia bacterium FMN sequence
Rfam family: FMN riboswitch aptamer (RFN element)
About the family: The RFN element is a highly conserved domain that is found frequently in the 5'-untranslated regions of prokaryotic mRNAs that encode for flavin mononucleotide (FMN) biosynthesis and transport proteins. This element is a metabolite-dependent riboswitch that directly binds FMN in the absence of proteins.
Source: RNAcentral
UAAACACUUCGGGGCGAGGCGAAAACCCUCACCGGCGGUGACAGUCCGCUAACCCGCGAACUUCGCAAAACGAAUUUCCGGGCCGAACAGGCGCAAUUCCUGUACCGACGGUUAUAGUCCGGAUGGAAGAAGGCAGUA